UGAUGACAAUCUCGAUGAUGG
Molecule: non-coding RNA, 21 nt
Filed under: Caenorhabditis elegans
Lineage: Eukaryota; Metazoa; Nematoda; Chromadorea; Rhabditida; Rhabditidae
Source: RNAcentral